RNAcentral lists this ribosomal RNA (250 nucleotides) under uncultured bacterium. Its description in RNAcentral is "partial 16S ribosomal RNA". It matches the Rfam family "Bacterial small subunit ribosomal RNA", at positions 524 to 773 of the family's 1533-position model. The record is from RNAcentral.
UACGUAGGUGGCAAGCGUUGUCCGGAAUUACUGGGUGUAAAGGGUGCGUAGGCGGGCAAACAAGUCAGAUGUGAAAUACCACAGCUUAACUGUGGGGCUGCAUUUGAAACUGUAUGUCUUGAGUGGUGGAGAGGUAAGCGGAAUUCCCAGUGUAGCGGUGAAAUGCGUAGAUAUUGGGAGGAACACCAGUGGCGAAGGCGGCUUACUGGACACUAACUGACGCUGAAGCACGAAAGCGUGGGGAGCAAAC